GACGAACGCUGGCGGCGUGCUUAACACAUGCAAGUCGAACGGAAAGGCCCUGCCUUUGUGGGGUGCUCGAGUGGCGAACGGGUGAGUAACACGUGAGUAACCUGCCCUUGACUUUGGGAUAACUUCAGGAAACUGGGGCUAAUACCGGAUAGGAGCUCCUGCUGCAUGGUGGGGGUUGGAAAGUUUCGGCGGUUGGGGAUGGACUCGCGGCUUAUCAGCUUGUUGGUGGGGUAGUGGCUUACCAAGGCCUUGACGGGUAGCCGGCCUGAGAGGGUGACCGGCCACAUUGGGACUGAGAUGCGGCCCAGACUCCUACGGGAGGCAGCAGUGGGGAAUAUUGCACAAUGGGCGGAAGCCUGAUGCAGCAACGCCGCGUGCGGGAUGACGGCCUUCGGGUUGUAAACCGCUUUCGCCUGUGACGAAGCGUGAGUGACGGUAAUGGGUAAAGAAGCACCGGCUAACUACGUG
RNAcentral lists this ribosomal RNA (468 nucleotides) under uncultured bacterium. Its description in RNAcentral is "partial 16S ribosomal RNA". It matches the Rfam family "Bacterial small subunit ribosomal RNA", at positions 28 to 507 of the family's 1533-position model. The record is from RNAcentral.